UAUCUAUGAAUGUCAGUAAUUUAUUUAUCAUUUAAUAACAAUUUCUAAAUUCGUAAUCCCGUUUUAUGGGGAACUAUAUUGACGUGAUGCUGGCAAAUGCCUUCGUGGCGAUAGCCAUUAAUUAAAAAAAAAAAAUAACAAUUUGACAAUAAAUUUAACUUUAAAGUACAACAUUUGCCAUUUAAAGAAUGGUUUAAUAAGCCAUAUAUUAAUAUUAUACAAGCCAUGUUUAAGCGGCUUAAAUUAAGGCACUAAUCUUGGACCUAACUUUUGCUAGUAAGAAGCACAAUGAGAUAACGUAGCACUUCGUGACGCAAGUUAUUUUGUCUACGGAAGCGGAACCUUAAAAAUGUGGCUGAAAAUGUUAGCGACAAAGCGCGAUCUCGCAACCAAUUUUGAAUACCCUGAUCGUGCCUCUACAUCUACUUGCAAAUUGGUUAAUCUCACCCACUCCAUACAGUCACGGAGCCAUUUAUUAUCCGCGGCUGCAAAUAUGCCGGCACCUAGAGACUGGCGUUCUAAGAAAAUUCAAUUAUCCCUAAUUGAUUGUUCAAAUUUAACCUCACUCAGAAACGGCUAAAUAAACUAAUUAUAUAAUUAACUCAUCUUCCUGAAGCUUUAUUCGGUUACGUGGAAGAAUUACCUUGAAAUUAUAUGGGGAAAACGUCUAUCUUUUGAUGGAUGAAACGUAACAUUUACCAUCUACCUAUCCAUGUACCUAUCUGAAUACAAUCAGUCAUUCAAUAUUGUUAAUUAUUUUUUGCCUGGAUAAAAAACGAAGGGUGGAAGUGGAAUUAUUGGAAAAUUAAUAUGCAUUUUCUCAAAAAAAAUAUACAAGCUUUUACCGCUAA
This is a long non-coding RNA of Cydia pomonella (codling moth), 851 nucleotides long. RefSeq lists it as uncharacterized. NCBI's taxonomy places the organism in Eukaryota, Metazoa, Arthropoda, Insecta, Lepidoptera, Tortricidae. The transcript is spliced from 2 exons. The record is from RefSeq and is a predicted model, not a curated record.